This 134-nucleotide microRNA precursor is filed under the name Eucalyptus grandis. The record is from RNAcentral. Lineage: Eukaryota; Viridiplantae; Streptophyta; Magnoliopsida; Myrtales; Myrtaceae.
AGUCCUGUUUGUUAGCCAAGGAUGACUUGCCUGCUUCUUGCAUGAGGCUUUGAUCAUGGUUGCCCUUCUGGUCGACGGACACGUACGAUUGCAGGGUCACCAGGCAGGUCAUCUUGGCAUAUCUGACGUGCUCU